CAUGAACAAACUUAGAAAAGAUGGCUCUGCUAUCACUUAUCGAUGGCCUUGCGGUGCAUUAACUAGUUGGCGAGGUAACGGCUCACCAAGGUGAUGAUGCAUAGCCGACCUGAGAGGGUAAUCGGCCACAUUGGGACUGAGACACGGCCCAAACUCCUACGGGAGGCAGCAGUAGGGAAUCUUCCGCAAUGGACGCAAGUCUGACGGAGCAACGCCGCGUGAGUGAAGAAGGUUUUCGGAUCGUAAAACUCUGUUGUAAGAGAAGAACAAAUUGUAGAGUAACUGCUACAGUCUUGACGGUACCUUACCAGAAAGCCACGGGCUAACUACGUGCCAGCAGCCGCGGUAAAU
This 351-nucleotide ribosomal RNA is filed under the name uncultured Aerococcus sp. RNAcentral describes it as "bacterial SSU rRNA". It matches the Rfam family "Bacterial small subunit ribosomal RNA", at positions 187 to 525 of the family's 1533-position model. The record is from RNAcentral. Lineage: Bacteria; Bacillati; Bacillota; Bacilli; Lactobacillales; Aerococcaceae.